CUCCACAUAUCUCUGGACCUGACGGUUGUGGCGUUCUCCCUUCCAAGCCACAGGAGAACGCAUUCUUGUUUACUGGCGAAGCCAUCACCCUUUAGUUGGUAUCAGAUACUGACUUGGAACAAGAAGCAUCC
This 131-nucleotide small nucleolar RNA is filed under the name Microtus ochrogaster (prairie vole). RNAcentral's name for it is "Small nucleolar RNA SNORA24 (ENSMOCG00000005879.1)". It matches the Rfam family "Small nucleolar RNA SNORA24". Rfam says of the family: ACA24 is a member of the H/ACA class of snoRNA that guide the sites of modification of uridines to pseudouridines. Lineage: Eukaryota; Metazoa; Chordata; Mammalia; Rodentia; Cricetidae. The record is from RNAcentral.